This 452-nucleotide ribosomal RNA is filed under the name uncultured bacterium. RNAcentral's name for it is "bacterial SSU rRNA". It matches the Rfam family "Bacterial small subunit ribosomal RNA", at positions 340 to 786 of the family's 1533-position model. The record is from RNAcentral.
UACGGAAGGCAGCAGUGGGGAAUAUUGCACAAUGGGCGCAAGCCUGAUGCAGCCAUGCCGCGUGUAUGAAAAAGGCCUUCGGGUUGUAAAGUACUUUCAGUCGUGAGGAAGGUGUUAAGGUUAAUAACCUUAGCAAUUGACGUUAGCGACAGAAGAAGCACCGGCUAACUCCGUGCCAGCAGCCGCGGUAAUACGGAGGGUGCGAGCGUUAAUCGGAAUUACUGGGCGUAAAGGGCACGCAGGCGGUUAAUUAAGUUGGAUGUGAAUCCCCGGGCUUAACCUGGGAAUGGCAUUCAAGACUGGUUAGCUAGAGUCUUGUAGAGGGGGGUAGAAUUCCAUGUGUAGCGGUGAAAUGCGUAGAGAUGUGGAGGAAUACCGGUGGCGAAGGCGGCCCCUGGACAAAGACUGACGCUCAUGUGCGAAAGCUGGGGAGCAAACAGGGAUUAGAUACC